This 498-nucleotide ribosomal RNA is filed under the name uncultured bacterium. RNAcentral's name for it is "partial 16S ribosomal RNA". It matches the Rfam family "Bacterial small subunit ribosomal RNA", at positions 29 to 523 of the family's 1533-position model. The record is from RNAcentral.
AUUAACCGCUGGCGCCAUGCCUUACACAUGCAAGUCGACCGGUAACAGGUCUGCGGAUACUGACGAGUGGAGAACGGGUGAGUAAUACAUCGGAACGUGCCCAAUCGUGGGGGAUAGCGCAGCGAAAGCAGUGCUAAUACCGCAUAGGAUCUACUGAUGAAAGCGGAGGAGCGGAAGACCUCGCGCGAAUCGAGCGGCCGAGGGCGGAUUAGGUAGUUGGGGGGGUAAAAGCCCACCAAGCCGACGAUCCGUAGCUGGUCUGAGAGGACGACCAGCCACACUGGAACUGAGACACGGCCCAGACUCCUACGGGAGGCAGCAGUGGGGAAUUUUGGACAAUGGGCGCAAGCCUGAUCCAGCAAUGCCGCGUGCAGGAUGAAGGCCUUCGGGUUGUAAACUGCUUUUGUACGGAGCGAAAAGGUCUCUUCUAAUACAGGAGGCCCAUGACGGUACCGUAAGAAUAAGCACCGGCUAACUACGUGCCAGCCGCCGCCGUAA